UACAGAGGUCUCAAGCGUUGUUCGGAUUCAUUGGGCGUAAAGGGUGCGUAGGCGGCACGGUAAGUCGGGUGUGAAAUCUCGGAGCUUAACUCCGAAACUGCAUUCGAUACUGCCGUGCUUGAGGACUGGAGAGGAGACUGGAAUUUACGGUGUAGCGGUGAAAUGCGUAGAUAUCGUAAGGAAGACCAGUGGCGAAGGCGGGUCUCUGGACAGUUCCUGACGCUGAGGCACGAAGGCCAGGGGAGCAAACGGG
Molecule: ribosomal RNA, 253 nt
Filed under: uncultured bacterium
Lineage: Bacteria
Description: partial 16S ribosomal RNA
Rfam family: Bacterial small subunit ribosomal RNA
Source: RNAcentral